GCGCCAAUAGCUCAAUUGGAUAGAGCAUUUGACUACGGAUCAAAAGGUUGGGGGUUCAAAUCCUCUUUGGCGCGCCA
Molecule: transfer RNA, 77 nt
Filed under: Acholeplasma sp.
Lineage: Bacteria; Bacillati; Mycoplasmatota; Mollicutes; Acholeplasmatales; Acholeplasmataceae
Description: tRNA-Arg
Rfam family: tRNA
About the family: Transfer RNA (tRNA) molecules are approximately 80 nucleotides in length. Their secondary structure includes four short double-helical elements and three loops (D, anti-codon, and T loops). Further hydrogen bonds mediate the characteristic L-shaped molecular structure. tRNAs have two regions of fundamental functional importance: the anti-codon, which is responsible for specific mRNA codon recognition, and the 3' end, to which the tRNAs corresponding amino acid is attached (by aminoacyl-tRNA synthetases). tRNAs cope with the degeneracy of the genetic code in two manners: having more than one tRNA (with a specific anti-codon) for a particular amino acid; and 'wobble' base-pairing, i.e. permitting non-standard base-pairing at the 3rd anti-codon position.
Source: RNAcentral